Molecule: ribosomal RNA, 253 nt
Filed under: uncultured bacterium
Lineage: Bacteria
Description: partial 16S ribosomal RNA
Rfam family: Bacterial small subunit ribosomal RNA
Source: RNAcentral
UACGAAGGGGGCUAGCGUUGUUCGGAAUUACUGGGCGUAAAGCGUGCGCAGGCGGCUGCUCAAGUCAGGGGUGAAAGCCCAGAGCUCAACUCUGGAAUUGCCUUUGAGACUGAGUGGCUUGAGUACGGGAGAGGUGAGUGGAAUUCCCAGUGUAGAGGUCAAGUUCGUAGAUAUUGGGAAGAACACCGGUGGCGAAGGCGGCUCACUGGCUCGUAACUGACGCUCAUGCACGACAGCGUGGGGAUCAAACAGG